This 258-nucleotide ribosomal RNA is filed under the name uncultured bacterium. RNAcentral describes it as "partial 16S ribosomal RNA". It matches the Rfam family "Bacterial small subunit ribosomal RNA", at positions 524 to 776 of the family's 1533-position model. The record is from RNAcentral.
UACGUAGAGAGCAAGCGUUACUCGGAAUCGCUGGGCGUAAAGAGCGUGUAGGCGGAUAGAUAAGUCAGAAGUGAAAUCCAAAUAGCUUAACUAUUGAACUGCUUUUGAAACUGUCUAUCUAGAGUAUGGGAGAGGUAGAUGGAAAUUUCUGGUGUAGGGGGUAAAAUCCGUAGAGAUCAGAAGGAAUACCGAUUGCGAAGGCGAUCUACUGGAACAUAACUGACGCUGAGACGCGAAAAGGCUGGGGAGCGAAACAGG